RNAcentral lists this ribosomal RNA (484 nucleotides) under uncultured bacterium. RNAcentral's name for it is "partial 16S ribosomal RNA". It matches the Rfam family "Bacterial small subunit ribosomal RNA", at positions 29 to 507 of the family's 1533-position model. The record is from RNAcentral.
AGUGAACGCUGGCGGCAGGCCUAACACAUGCAAGUCGAGCGGCAGCGCCGGGGCAACCCUUGCGGCGAGCGUCGGACGGGUGAGGGAUUCGCCUGAACCUGCCUCCUUGUAGGGGAUAACGUAGGGUGACUACCGCUACUACCGCAUACUUCCUACUGGAGAAGGAUGUUGACCGGCAGGCAUCACCCACGAACAUGAACCGACUACCGAUGUGCUAGUUGGUGGGUGAAAUGCCCACCCAGGCGACGAUCGGUAGCUGGCCUGAGAGGAUGAUCAGCCACACUGGGACUGAGACACGGCCCAGAGUCCUACGGGAGGCAGCAGUGGGGAAUGGUAGACAAUGGGCGCAAGCCUGAUCCAGCCAGGCCGCGUGUGUGAAGGAGGCCUUCGGGUUGUAAAGAACGCUUGUGCGGAAAGAAAUUCCUGGAGCUGAGACCUACGGAGGGUGACGGUACCGGAAGAAAAAGCACCGGCUAACUUCGUG